CCUACGGGAGGCAGCAGUGGGGAAUAUUGCACAAUGGGGGAAACCCUGAUGCAGCGACGCCGCGUGAGUGAAGAAGUAUUUCGGUACGUAAAGCUCUAUCAGCAGGGAAGAAAAUGACGGUACCUGACUAAGAAGCCCCGGCUAACUACGUGCCAGCAGCCGCGGUAAUACGUAGGGGGCAAGCGUUAUCCGGAUUUACUGGGUGUAAAGGGAGCGUAGACGGCAGCGCAAGUCUGGAGUGAAAUGCCAUGGCUUAACCAUGGAACUGCUUUGGAAACUGUGCAGCUAGAGUGCAGGAGAGGUAAGCGGAAUUCCUAGUGUAGCGGUGAAAUGCGUAGAUAUUAGGAGGAACACCAGUGGCGAAGGCGGCUUACUGGACUGUAACUGACGUUGAGGCUCGAAAGCGUGGGGAGCAAACAGGAUUAGAUACCCCGGUAGUC
Molecule: ribosomal RNA, 440 nt
Filed under: uncultured bacterium
Lineage: Bacteria
Description: partial 16S ribosomal RNA
Rfam family: Bacterial small subunit ribosomal RNA
Source: RNAcentral